RNAcentral lists this ribosomal RNA (291 nucleotides) under Triticum aestivum (bread wheat). RNAcentral's name for it is "partial small subunit ribosomal RNA". Lineage: Eukaryota; Viridiplantae; Streptophyta; Magnoliopsida; Poales; Poaceae. The record is from RNAcentral.
AUGACGUUGCGGGCGACGAGCGUCUUGCCGGACUCGUUGCGGAUGCGGAGGGAGAAGGGCGCCUGCAGGCGGUGGUUGGAGUCGAGGCGCCAGAUGGAGCCCCACGACUCGCGCAUCCGCGUCCACCGCCCGCCUCCCCCUCCCCGGCGGCCGGACUCCAUGAGGUCCACCUGCACCACGUCGCCGUCGCCGUUCUCGUACUCCACCAGGAUCGCCAUGUACACCGCGUUGGACCCCUCCUCCACGUGGAACCCCACCUUGAGCCCCGGGAACUCGGGAGGGCAGUGGUAG